GAUGAAGAACGCAGCGAAAUGCGAUAAGUAAUGUGAAUUGCAGAAUUCAGUGAAUCAUCGAGUCUUUGAACGCACAUUGCGCCCGCUGGUAUUCCGGCGGGCAUGCCUGUUCGAGCGUCAUUUCAACCCUCAAGCCCCCGGGUUUGGUGUUGGGGAUCGGCUCUGCCCUUCUGGGCGGUGCCGCCCCCGAAAUACAUUGGCGGUCUCGCUGCAGCCUCCAUUGCGUAGUAGCUAACACCUCGCAACUGGAACGCGGCGCGGCCAUGCCGUAAAACCCCAACUUCUGAAUGUUGACCUCGGAUCAGGUAGGAAUACCCGCUGAACUUAAGCGUAUCAAUAAGCGGAGGA
This 348-nucleotide unclassified non-coding RNA is filed under the name soil metagenome. Its description in RNAcentral is "partial contains 5.8S ribosomal RNA, internal transcribed spacer 2, and large subunit ribosomal RNA". The stretch from base 1 to 120 matches the Rfam family "5.8S ribosomal RNA", at positions 35 to 154 of the family's 154-position model. The record is from RNAcentral.